Cinara cedri is the source of this 730-nucleotide non-coding RNA. The record is from the annotation of a GenBank genome assembly. NCBI's taxonomy places the organism in Eukaryota, Metazoa, Arthropoda, Insecta, Hemiptera, Aphididae.
AAUAAUUACCAUCAUUAGUGUGUUAGUUCAACUGCUGGCUAACGACCGAUACAUCUGCAACGGUUGCCUCAUAUAUCUCCAUUACCGACAGGAAAUAUUUUAAGCAGUGCGGUCGUUGUAAUUCAAUAUAAAUUCAUCCAAUUUCCACAACGGCCGCAAACGUGUUGACAACGAAACGAACGGGGGAAAAAAAAUCACAGCCAAAGGAUCCGCUGCCAGUCGUCUUUUUAACAUUCACCGUCGACGACCGUAUAAUUCAAGUAAUGUGUGGCUAUGUGUAAUUAUACACACACAUCAGUUUUUAAAUUAGUAAUAGCUAAUCAUUUUUUAUUUUCUUUCAUUUUUUCAGGAAUCAUCAAUAUUUCUAUUACGGGAUCAUAUUCCAAUCAAUACUUUGGUGUCGACUCCACGACAAUUAAUGGUUCAUGUGUUCAAUUAAUACUGUACUGAUACAAUUAUUGAUUAUUUUGAUGACUAUUUCAAACACCAAUAUAUUCAGUACGCCUAUUGACAAAACACCACUACCGACCGAUAGUCGGUCCGAUCCAGUCGAAUAUCGCAAACGUCAUACAGAAUCCAUCAAAAUAUGUAUUAUUAGUUUUUAUUUAUUAUAAGUUUUACCACUUAUAGUACGAGCACUCGUUACAAUGUUUAUUUUUUCAAAGUUUCUCGUUUUUUUCGCCGUUUUUUUGAUUUUAAUUCCAACUGGUGUAUGGUUAGAAGGAGGGGG